RNAcentral lists this ribosomal RNA (504 nucleotides) under Nannophya pygmaea. Its description in RNAcentral is "partial 16S ribosomal RNA". It matches the Rfam family "Bacterial large subunit ribosomal RNA", at positions 1819 to 2597 of the family's 2925-position model. The record is from RNAcentral. Lineage: Eukaryota; Metazoa; Arthropoda; Insecta; Odonata; Libellulidae.
GUCCUUUUGAAUUUAAUUUAAGGUCUGACCUGCCCAGUGAUUAGUUUAACGGCCGCGGUAUACUGACCGUGCAAAGGUAGCAUAAUCAUUAGUCUUUUAAUAGAGGGCUGGAAUGAAAGGUUUAACGAGGAACUGACUGUCUCAUUUUAUUUGUAUUAAAACUUAAUUUUUUAGUCAAAAAGCUAAAAUUUAAUUGGAAGACGAGAAGACCCUAUAGAUCUUUAUAUAACUAUAUUAGUUUUAUAAUAUAUUAACAUAUCCUAUUAUACUUAUAUUUUGUUGGGGUGACAAAAAUAUAAAAUUAACUUUUUUAUAGUUUAAACAUUGAUUUAUGAAUAAUAGAUCCAUUCUUAGUGAUUAUUAGAUUAAGUUACCUUAGGGAUAACAGCGUAAUCCUCUUCCAGAGUUCAUAUUUACAGGGGGGCUUGCGACCUCGAUGUUGGAUUAAGAUAAUAGUUAGGUGUAGCCGCUUAAUUUAUGGGUCUGUUCGACCUUUAAAUUCUU